RNAcentral lists this long non-coding RNA (850 nucleotides) under Spirodela polyrhiza (greater duckweed). RNAcentral's name for it is "long non-coding RNA (SPOL_LNC000387)". Lineage: Eukaryota; Viridiplantae; Streptophyta; Magnoliopsida; Alismatales; Araceae. The record is from RNAcentral.
GAGAGAGAGAGAGAGAGAGAGAGAGAGAGAGAGGAGGGAGGGAGGGAGGGAGGGAGGGAGGGAGGGAGAAGGAGCAGGUGACCAGGAAGGAGCUGGAGCAGAUCUGGACGGCCCUCCCCGCAGCGACCCUUCUUUCCUCUUCCGCCGGCGCCCGUAUUUCCUCCUCUUUUCCUCUGCGCUCCGCUCGUUCUUCACGCUCCCCUAUCUAAACUCCUCUCCACGGCUGAGAGAAGACUCCUCGCACCCGCGAAGAAAAGACGACGGACCAGCGAAUUCAACCUCCCCCGGCGUCCUUGACCAAGCUGGUCUUCAUCUCACAGUAAAUCAGGGGGGCACACAGAGCGAGCAAGAGAGAGAAAGAGGCGAAGGUGGGAGAAGAUGAGAAAUCAGAGGACGGGGCGGGGAGGGAAGACGACGAGGCCCCCGGGAUCCGACGGCCCACGUUCGGAGACUUCCUGCCGGGAGAAGGCGGCUGGUCUCCGCCGCUGCUCCUCCCCCCUGUUCUUGCCGGGCGCCCAUUAAAAAAUCGCAGUAAAUCCAUUCAACCCUCCCGCGAUUCUCCGGGAAAAAAAGAGGACCAUCGUCCUCGGAAUCGCGAGAAACAACCAAAAAAGGGAAGCUUUUCGAUCGGACGCGAUUGAAUGACAAAUCCCCGCGUCAAAUCGCCAAGCCGAGCCGCUCCCCAGAGCUCGGGCUGCUCUGUGAUGCACGCAAGCUUCACCCACUUGUCGUCCCAAUCCGAUUUCCUCCAAUAAACACCCGCAGAAAACAAAAAAUAUUCCAAAUAAAACCAAGAUCAUUGACCCCAAAAAAGGCAUCUCCGUCAAUAACAAUCUGAUAUCGCGAAUAC